This 486-nucleotide ribosomal RNA is filed under the name uncultured bacterium. RNAcentral's name for it is "bacterial SSU rRNA". It matches the Rfam family "Bacterial small subunit ribosomal RNA", at positions 43 to 524 of the family's 1533-position model. The record is from RNAcentral.
CAGGCCUAACACAUGCAAGUCGAACGGACCAAGUUGUAGUAAUAUGGCUUGGUUAGUGGCGAACGGGUGAGGAACACGUGACUAAUCUGCCCUGGACUGUGGAAUAACGUUGGGAAACCGGCGCUAAUACCGCAUAUUGAGCUUGAAGGACAUCCUUCGGGUUUGAAAGCUCCGGCGGUCCGGGAUGAGGUCGCGUCCCAUUAGUUUGUUGGUGAGGUAACGGCUCACCAAGGCGACGAUGGGUAGCUGAUCUGAGAGGAUGAUCAGCCACACUGGGACUGAGAUACGGCCCAGACUCCUACGGGAGGCAGCAGUGAGGAAUAUUGCGCAAUGGGCGAAAGCCUGACGCAGCAACGCCGCGUGGAGGAUGAAGGUGCUCUGCAUCGUAAACUCCUGUAAGGGGGGACGAACCGCCCGUUUUCUGACGGGUCUGACGGUACCCCCAAAGUAAGCACCGGCUAAUUCCGUGCCAGCAGCCGCGGUAAU